GACGAACGCUGGCGGCGUGCUUAACACAUGCAAGUCGAACGGAAAGGCCCUGCUUUUGUGGGGUGCUCGAGUGGCGAACGGGUGAGUAACACGUGAGUAACCUGCCCUUGACUUUGGGAUAACUUCAGGAAACUGGGGCUAAUAUCGGAUAGGAGCUCCUGCUGCAUGGUGGGGGUUGGAAAGUUUCGGCGGUUGGGGAUGGACUCGCGGCUUAUCAGCUUGUUGGUGGGGUAGUGGAUUACCAAGGCUUUGACGGGUAGCCGGCCUGAGAGGGUGACCGGCCACAUUGGGACUGAGAUACGGCCCAGACUCCUACGGGAGGCAGCAGUGGGGAGUAUUGCACAAUGGGCGGAAGCCUGAUGCAGCAACGCCGCGUGCGGGAUGACGGCCUUCGGGUUGUAAACCGCUUUCGCCUGUGACGAAGCGUGAGUGACGGUAAUGGGUAAAGAAGCACCGGCUAACUACGUG
Molecule: ribosomal RNA, 468 nt
Filed under: uncultured bacterium
Lineage: Bacteria
Description: partial 16S ribosomal RNA
Rfam family: Bacterial small subunit ribosomal RNA
Source: RNAcentral